UACAACACAACCCACUAAUAGCCUAACACAUAACACACGGCUGUCUGUGCGGGUCGCUACAAUACUAAUACUUCUGUUGUUAGGGCUACUAAUAAUGACUCACCACAAAGUUAAACUUCAGGCUUCUUCAAUAUAUAGUUUUGACAGGCUACUGAGUAUUUGUGAGAAAGACUAUCGUAAAGAGUUCCCAGUUGUCUUGAAAGCACCAUCAAUCCAGAGAAUGCCAGACUUUGAUGACAAAAUUUUGACAAAAUGUGCCCACAAGGACUGCAGCACCACCUUCCUGUUCAAGUGAGCAUGGCACAAGGUCCAUUACCAGCCUUCACAUCUCUCCUCCUCAAAUCUGUGGACCUGGCCAGGGGGAGGCCUUUUACGAGGGUGGAUGAGGCAGCAAUUCUAGCAUUAGGGGGUUUGCUUGUUGGUAGGUGCCGCUUAGCUGUCCUCUGAGCUCCCUUGUUGUUUCUGGAUGGAGCUGGCUUCAGGUUCUUGUCUACAGAGGGACACACAGAUAGUGGCUUAUUAUAACACAUUACACAAAGGGAAAUUGCUAUAGUCAAACACACAAAUGUGAAUUUAAGAGAACUCACCUUUGGGGGGGUGUCUGUUCAGAACUGGGGGCAAACAUGGACGGCUGAAUUUCAGGUGUGAGGGAGGGGAGGGGGGACAACCCGGUUGGAGCUGGUAUCGGUUUCUUGUCUACAGAAGGACAAACAGGCAUUAGUGUCUUAAUGAACACAAUAUAUUGCUAUAUUUAAACGUGAUUGUUACAGGUUAUUUUAACGAACACAUUCAUUUUUUGGGUAAUUUAUUGUUUUUCUUUUCAUUAACAAGUUGUAUUGAUUAUUUAUUGUUUGAAUUGUUUAUUUUUGUAAGAUUAACUACAUUGAUGGAAUAAAAAAAAUAUAUAAUAAAAAAUAAAUAAAGACCUCUCCAUUGGGGAAUUGCCUGUUCAGAACUGGAGGCCGCCAUGGACAGCUACAUGUCAGGUGUGGAGGUUGGUCCUUAUUUUCCAACACGCCACUGGGCUCUCUCCUCUCUUUCCCUCAGGUACCUUUUUGUUCUGUCACACUCCAGUUGGGCCUUUUGCGCUUUCCUCCUCCUCCUUCUCAAGGUGUUGAGCUGCCUUAUCCAGCCUAUGUAGCUGUGAUAACCAAAAUAAAGAAUUAGCCGAUACACUGAAAGGGUGGAUAACAAAUAUUCCGAUAUAUAGAAACUAAUGUUAAAACAUGUUACCUUCUAUGUUUACGGUCUGUAGAGUUAUAGACUGCAUUGAUGAUAGUCCCAAAGCCUGCCCUAUUGAAACCUCUAUUCAUAUUGAGUAAUAGAUCUUGGGAAACUGAGACUAUCCCUGAGACUCUCCCAAACUGCAACAAGUGAAGAUGUGCAGCAACCAAUCGGAGAUUAGUGGGCAUCGCUGGGGGGGUAGACUCCCUGCUGUCACCUGUAGUAUCUGCUGGUCAUCUCAAAUCUCUGAGUAGAACCUGACUAUUUUUUUGUUGUGUGUGUUACAACUCUGUAAACAGUGUGUUUAUUGACUAGGACAAUUAUGACUGAUUUACUUGUCUUUUUAUUUGUUGAACAUUAUAGAGUGUAUGACAAAUAAAAAUGAAUUUCAAGGGAGAAAAAGAGCUUGCAUUGAAUUAUUUAUUUCACAGGGAAUGUCAUGUGUGCACCAACCCAGUAUGAUGUCCCCUACACCUACUGUACAAGUUAAAGU
This is a long non-coding RNA of Oncorhynchus mykiss (rainbow trout), 1717 nucleotides long. RefSeq lists it as uncharacterized. The record is from RefSeq and is a predicted model, not a curated record. Lineage: Eukaryota; Metazoa; Chordata; Actinopteri; Salmoniformes; Salmonidae.